AUGGAACGUCUCCUCCACACAAAACCUGAUUACACCUCUCUCCGUGUUUUUGGGUGCGCGUGUUGGCCAAAUCUUCGGCCUUACAAUCAACGCAAGCUCAUGUUCCGUUCAAAACAAUGUGCUUUCCUUGGUUAUAGUGCCCAACACAAAGGCGUCAAGUGCCUUCACAUCUCUACUGGUAGGGUGUAUAUCUCACGUGACGUUGUUUUCGAUGAGACAAGAUUUCCCUUUGCGGAUCUUCAUCCCAACGCUGGUGCCCUCCUUCGCAAGGAAAUCUUGCUCUUACCUUCUCAUCUCUCCGGUUAUGAUCAAGGGGGUAUUACAAAUUGUGAUGAUCAUAUGACUAACCCUACUAAUGGCCCCCAUGAGCUUUGUGGUGAUGCAGGAAACAACGCAAAAAUUGCGGGAAAUAAUAAAGAAAACGGCCAGGAAAACGGCCCUUAUUUCAUGUGUCCGCCGCUGGGGAGCAAAUCUUCCUCAGGAUCCGCCCAGGAGCUGCAGCGCAGUGAAUCAGCCUCGGGAUCGGUGGCCUGA
Molecule: ribosomal RNA, 534 nt
Filed under: Triticum aestivum (bread wheat)
Lineage: Eukaryota; Viridiplantae; Streptophyta; Magnoliopsida; Poales; Poaceae
Description: partial small subunit ribosomal RNA
Source: RNAcentral